AGUGAACGCUGGCGGUAGGCCUAACACAUGCAAGUCGAACGGCAGCACAGUACGAGCUUGCUCUUACGGGUGGCGAGUGGCGGACGGGUGAGGAAUAUAACGGAAUCUACUUUUUCGUGGGGGAUAACGUAGGGAAACUUAAGCUAAUACCGCAUCCGCCCUACGGGGGAAAGCAGGGGAUAUUCUCACCUUGCGCGGUUGAACGAGCCGAGGUGGGAUUAGUUGGUUGGCGGGGUAAAGGCCCACCCAGGCGGCGAUUCGUAGCCGGACUGAGUGGAUGGUAGCCCGCCCGGGAAGGGGAACAGGGUCCAGGCUACUGAGGGAGGGCGCAGAGGGGUAUGGUAGGCAAUAGGCGCAAGUCUGAUCCAGCCAUACCGCGUGGGUGAAGGAGGCCUUGGGGUUGUGAAGCCGUUUUGUUGGGAAAGAAAAGCAGCAGGUUGAGACCCCGCUGUUCUGACGGUACCCAAAGAAGAAGCACCGGCUAACUUCGUG
Molecule: ribosomal RNA, 492 nt
Filed under: uncultured bacterium
Lineage: Bacteria
Description: partial 16S ribosomal RNA
Rfam family: Bacterial small subunit ribosomal RNA
Source: RNAcentral